This 1164-nucleotide long non-coding RNA is filed under the name Homo sapiens (human). RNAcentral's name for it is "long intergenic non-protein coding RNA 2328". Lineage: Eukaryota; Metazoa; Chordata; Mammalia; Primates; Hominidae. The record is from RNAcentral.
AGCAACCCUUCUGGGUCCCCUUCCACCACGCAGAAGCUUUACUUUCGCUUUCACUUUACUUUUGCUUUCACUUUAACAAAUCUUGCAGCCGCACACUCUUUGGGUCCGCCCGUUUCUCUAAUCAAGUUGUAACACUCGCUGCUGUGGUCCACAGCUUCAUUCCUUGAAGCCCGUGAGACACGAACGCUUCCAUUGAGAAAAACCUUCCAUCAGAAGAAGACUUCUCGUCUCAGUGGGACUGCUGAGUUGAAUGGUGCUUUUUUUUCUGAAGCUUUGGUAGUGUAACUGUAAGAGUCCUGGAAUUGGAAAAGCAAAUCCAGAAGUUGAGUUCCAUGACUUUUUUGCUGUUUGCCUUUGGACUUGCAUCAUUUAUAUUUUUAAUUCAUCGAGGAUGAGAAAAUUGAUUAACACAAAAUCUUUUCAUGUCUUUUCUGAUGAGAGACUAGCUGAAUCCAAGAAGAGAAGCCCUUGAAGAGUGUAUUCUAUUCUAGACAAGCAUUCACACAUUGGCUUCUUUGGUGCCAGCAUGUUUCUGAUCAGCAUGAAAACUGCGCAGGAGCUUUUCUGUCUUGCAGAGCUAGUUAAUGAGAUUGUUGCUGCCUUCAGAUUCUAUAAAGGACUUCUCCAAUAUUGGAUUAAAGAAUGAAGAAAGGAUCAAAUUGAGACAUCCAGGGGGGAAGAGUUCCCUGGCAAAACUCCAAUCUGCCUGAGCACUGAGGUGGAGCCACAGAAGUCCGGGUCAUUUGCACCUGGGAGGAGCCUGGCCCCUCCUCUUCCUGUGUGGAAUCUGGGAUUUAAUCUGUGAGGAGGGAAGGCCAAGGGCAGGAAGCACAGGCUCUCACUUCACUAAGAGUCUCUGUUUCCCCUUUUUUUCCUUUAUGCCUAAUUAAUAAAUCCCAUUUUUCUCACUCUUCAAAUAGUCUUCAAGCCUAAAUUUUCAUGACCAUGGAACAAGGACCCCAUCUUUAGCUGAACUAAGGAAAAGUCCUGCAACAAAAUUCUUUGCUAAAAAUACAUGAGGUUGCCUUUUCCUUCUUAAUCUUAAAAGAAAUAUAUUUCAAUGGUUAACGUUUUAGUAAUUCAAAAAUUAUCAAGCAUUUGUUCACAACCAUAAGAUGUGCAUUGUUUUAUAUUCCUACUUAAUAAUAGACUAUAAUUGUCUAA